This 98-nucleotide ribosomal RNA is filed under the name uncultured bacterium. RNAcentral describes it as "partial 16S ribosomal RNA". The record is from RNAcentral.
CGUUCGGAGUUGUAAACUUCUUUUGAAGGGGAUGAAUCGCCUUGGUGAAUAGCCAAGGGUGACAGUACUCUUCGAAUAAGCCACGGCUAACUACGUGC